GACGAACGCUGGCGGCGUGCUUAACACAUGCAAGUCGAGCGGUAAGGCCCUUUCGGGGGUACACGAGCGGCGAACGGGUGAGUAACACGUGGGCGACCUGCCCUCAGCUCUGGGAUAAGCCUGGGAAACCGGGUCUAAUACUGGAUAUGACUCCAUGACGCAUGUUGUGGGGUGGAAAGCCUUGUGCGGCUGAGGAUGGGCCCGCGGCCUAUCAGCUUGUUGGUGGGGUGAUGGCCUACCAAGGCGACGACGGGUAGCCGGCCUGAGAGGGCGACCGGCCACACUGGGACUGAGACACGGCCCAGACUCCUACGGGAGGCAGCAGUGGGGAAUCUUGCGCAAUGGGCGAAAGCCUGACGCAGCGACGCCGCGUGAGGGAUGACGGCCU
This 388-nucleotide ribosomal RNA is filed under the name uncultured bacterium. RNAcentral describes it as "bacterial SSU rRNA". It matches the Rfam family "Bacterial small subunit ribosomal RNA", at positions 28 to 417 of the family's 1533-position model. The record is from RNAcentral.